AAUGAAUUGCCUGAUUAAAAGGAUUACCUUGAUAGGGUAAAUUAUAUGUUUCCGAACAUAUUCAUUA
This 67-nucleotide transfer RNA is filed under the name Culicoides oxystoma. RNAcentral describes it as "tRNA-Ile". Lineage: Eukaryota; Metazoa; Arthropoda; Insecta; Diptera; Ceratopogonidae. The record is from RNAcentral.